CCUCGGGAACUGUGAGACAGGUGCUGCAUGGCUGUCGUCAGCUCGUGUUGUGAAAUGUUGGGUUAAGUCCCGCAACGAGCGCAACCCUUAUCCUUUGUUGCCAGCGGUUCGGCCGGGAACUCAAAGGAGACUGCCAGUGAUAAACUGGAGGAAGGUGGGGAUGACGUCAAGUCAUCAUGGCCCUUACGACCAGGGCUACACACGUGCUACAAUGGCAUAUACAAAGAGAAGCGACCUCGCGAGAGCAAGCGGACCUCAUAAAGUAUGUCGUAGUCCGGAUUGGAGUCUGCAACUCGACUCCAUGAAGUCGGAAUCGCUAGUAAUCGUAGAUCAGAAUGCUACGGUGAAUACGUUCCCGGGCCUUGUACACACCGCCCGUCACACCAUGGGAGUGGGUUGCAAAAGAAGUAGGUAGCUUAACCUUCGGGAGGGCGCUUACCACUUUGUGAUUCAUGACUGGGGUGAAGUCGUAACAAGGUAACCG
Molecule: ribosomal RNA, 484 nt
Filed under: Klebsiella pneumoniae IS46
Lineage: Bacteria; Pseudomonadati; Pseudomonadota; Gammaproteobacteria; Enterobacterales; Enterobacteriaceae
Description: SSU rRNA
Rfam family: Bacterial small subunit ribosomal RNA
Source: RNAcentral